GGUGGAUGCCUUGGCACCAGGAGCCGAUGUAGGACGUAGGAGGCUGCGAUAAGCCUCGGGGAGCUGUC
RNAcentral lists this ribosomal RNA (68 nucleotides) under Nocardia cyriacigeorgica. RNAcentral's name for it is "partial 23S ribosomal RNA". Lineage: Bacteria; Bacillati; Actinomycetota; Actinomycetes; Mycobacteriales; Nocardiaceae. The record is from RNAcentral.